GUAGUCCAUGCCGUAAACGUUGGGCACUAGGUGUGGGGGACAUUCCACGUUUUCCGCGCCGUAGCCAACGCAUUAAGUGCCCCGCCUGGGGAGUACGGCCGCAAGGCUAAAACUCAAAGGAAUUGACGGGGGCCCGCACAAGCGGCGGAGCAUGCGGAUUAAUUCGAUGCAACGCGAAGAACCUUACCAAGGCUUGACAUGGACCGGACCGCCGCAGAAAUGUGGUUUCCCCUUUGGGGCCGGUUCACAGGUGGUGCAUGGUUGUCGUCAGCUCGUGUCGUGAGAUGUUGGGUUAAGUCCCGCAACGAGCGCAACCCUCGUUCUAUGUCGCCAGCGCGUGAUGGCGGGGACUCAUAGGAGACUGCCGGGGUCAACUCGGAGGAAGGUGGGGACGACGUCAAAUCAUCAUGCCCCUUAUGUCUUGGGCUUCACGCAUGCUACAAUGGCCGGUACAAAGGGUUGCGAUACUGUGAGGUGGAGCUAAUCCCAAAAAGCCGGUCUCAGUUCGGAUUGGGGUCUGCAACUCGACCCCAUGAAGUCGGAGUCGCUAGUAAUCGCAGAUCAGCAACGCUGCGGUGAAUA
Molecule: ribosomal RNA, 582 nt
Filed under: uncultured Arthrobacter sp.
Lineage: Bacteria; Bacillati; Actinomycetota; Actinomycetes; Micrococcales; Micrococcaceae
Description: bacterial SSU rRNA
Rfam family: Bacterial small subunit ribosomal RNA
Source: RNAcentral